This is a long non-coding RNA of Melanotaenia boesemani (Boeseman's rainbowfish), 397 nucleotides long. RefSeq lists it as uncharacterized. The record is from RefSeq and is a predicted model, not a curated record. The transcript has 3 exons. NCBI's taxonomy places the organism in Eukaryota, Metazoa, Chordata, Actinopteri, Atheriniformes, Melanotaeniidae.
UGUAUUACAAGAACGGAUUUCAAAAUUAUUUUUGUCUUCAGGACCAUCUUCAUUGCUGAUCUUGUGGAUGGCAGAUUGGAAACAAGCAAAACCCUGACAGUUCGAUUCUCAGAAUUUGAGGCUAACGUCAUGGGAAUCACAAGUAAGGUAAAUGAUGCCCUAGAACAAGAGGACUCGUUCAUCCUUACCGAUGGCCAGGGAAACCAGAUCUUGGACACAGAGGGAACCAGAGGAUCUGUGUUUUGGAAGCAAAAUGCAAGGAAGGUUUGUGCUGUGAAGGAAAGAGAUUUGCAGCAGUUACAAGGAAGCAAAAAGAGGAGACUGAGAUGAUAAUGGCCUGGAUACAGUGUUUGAUACAAUUGAAGAGGUGGUCCUGGCAGCAGAGGGUCUUCGGGAG